GUAAAACUUGCUUUUUAAUCUUCAGGCUCCCACUUCAGAUACGUGCAAAGCUACCAGAAUACAUGACAUCAUCCUUGGCUUCAGCCUUUGAAAGAGAAAUGGUGUUAAAAGUAUGAAAUUCUGGUAGCAAUGUCACACCCGAAGCUGAAGUUUAAAGCAAAACUGACAAUAAAAUCAACUGUCAGGAAAUGGACUAUUUUUUAAAUUAGACGUCUAUCAUGUCAGCCUUGGGUUAAUCUCUGGAGCCAGCUCAAGGAUGGAUGAGCGAUCUCCAUGGUCUUCUGCAUAAUCUUGGUUGCCAAGUUCCAUCCACCCUUUCCAGGAACCUUCCCAGGGGUCCAUGAUGCAGCCUUGUCCACAACGCUCUCCACAGACCGCCGUCACUGCUUCGAGCUUGUGAAAGGUAUUCAUUCGUCUCAGUUGUUUGUCGUGUAUUUGUCCUUCGGGUAGUGGUUUAUCUUCAGAGGUGCGUGCGGUGUCUGUAAGAUGCAUUACCAAGAUGAAGAGGAGCCAACGCACUCACAGAUGGUGAAGCCAAGAAGGGAAUCGGGAAAACUGAGAUUCAGACAUGAAAAGAGAGCUCUGCCACUCCUAAUUCUGGGAGUAAGGAAGUCUGUGAAAGCGGGAAGCUGGAGAAAGAUGCAUUAUAU
RNAcentral lists this long non-coding RNA (650 nucleotides) under Gallus gallus (chicken). RNAcentral's name for it is "lncRNA (ENSGALG00010004793.1)". The record is from RNAcentral. Lineage: Eukaryota; Metazoa; Chordata; Aves; Galliformes; Phasianidae.